AUGAACGCUGGCGGCGUGCUUAACACAUGCAAGUCGAACGAUGAAGCCCAGCUUGCUGGGUGGAUUAGUGGCGAACGGGUGAGUAACACGUGAGUAACCUGCCCUUAACUCUGGGAUAAGCCUGGGAAACUGGGUCUAAUACCGGAUAGGAGCGUCCACCGCAUGGUGGGUGUUGGAAAGAUUUAUCGGUUUUGGAUGGACUCGCGGCCUAUCAGCUUGUUGGUGAGGUAAUGGCUCACCAAGGCGACGACGGGUAGCCGGCCUGAGAGGGUGACCGGCCACACUGGGACUGAGACACGGCCCAGACUCCUACGGGAGGCAGCAGUGGGGAAUAUUGCACAAUGGGCGAAAGCCUGAUGCAGCGACGCCGCGUGAGGGAUGACGGCCUUCGGGUUGUAAACCUCUUUCAGUAGGGAAGAAGCGAAAGUGACGGUACCUGCAGAAGAAGCACCGGCUAACUACGU
Molecule: ribosomal RNA, 464 nt
Filed under: uncultured bacterium
Lineage: Bacteria
Description: partial 16S ribosomal RNA
Rfam family: Bacterial small subunit ribosomal RNA
Source: RNAcentral